GAUAUUCGACGUCAUAAACACGAUCAACAUUGGUGUUUAUAACGUCGAUAUUCGACGUCAUAAACACGAUCAACUUUGGUGUUUAGGACGUCGAUAUUCGACGUCAUAAACACGAACAACUUUGGUGUUUAUGACGUCGAUAUUCGACGUCAUAAACACGAACAACUUGGGUGUUUAUGACGUCGAUAUUCGACGUCAUAAACACGAUCAACUUUGGUGUUUAUGACGUCGAUAUUC
RNAcentral lists this microRNA precursor (237 nucleotides) under Paramuricea clavata. The record is from RNAcentral. Lineage: Eukaryota; Metazoa; Cnidaria; Anthozoa; Malacalcyonacea; Plexauridae.